AAUAAGUGCAAUUUUACACUGUUUAUAUUCAAAGUUUGACCGUUCAUUUUAUGAUUAGUAUUUUUGUGGUUAUUAGAUGAUAAAAUAUUAAUAGUAUUUUAUGUGUGACAUUUUUUUUAUUUUUUUCAUAAAUUUUUCAAAUAAGAAGGAUGGUCAAACGUUAGACAUGGAUAUCCACGGCUGUACUUAUU
This is a non-coding RNA of Oryza glaberrima (African rice), 191 nucleotides long. NCBI's taxonomy places the organism in Eukaryota, Viridiplantae, Streptophyta, Magnoliopsida, Poales, Poaceae. The record is from Rfam.